Molecule: long non-coding RNA, 922 nt
Organism: Thamnophis elegans (Western terrestrial garter snake)
Lineage: Eukaryota; Metazoa; Chordata; Lepidosauria; Squamata; Natricidae
Exons: 2
Source: RefSeq, a predicted model, not a curated record
GUACAGUAAGAGUACUGAAAGGAUCAUCUUUUGCAUCAGUAUUGAUGCUGUGUAUCUGAGGGCUCCCGAGGCCUCAGGAGGGAUACAAAAGCUACAAAUAGUGAAAAGAGCCAUGGAAAGAUACAUGCUUGGCAUUACAAGACAAGGUAGAAAGACCUGCACAUGGAUUAGAGAACAAACAAAAGUAUACAAUAUCAUCAAAAGUAUAAAAGAAUUGACACAGAAAUGGGCUGGUCACAUAGCAAGAACAACUUGUGGCAGGUGGACCAAGGAAAUCAAAGAAUGGAUCCCACUUGAUAAAAAAAGCAUCCACGAAAGAGACCUAAAACACAAUGGAUCGAUGACAUCAGCAAAUAUUGUUGGCAAAGGGGAGCUCAGGACCAUAUUCGUUGGAAACAUGCAGAAGAGGCCUUCAUCCUGCAGUGGAUAGUCAAUGGCUAAAUGAUGAUAACCUAACAUUUAUAACACAGAUUUCAAUUCCACAUUAUCAUCUUCCUUUAACAAUCUGAAAAAAAGCUACACCUUCAUUCCCCUGCAUGUAAUAUAUAUCAACUCUAUUUUACAAACUUAACCCACCAGUUUAGAGUUGUUAAGAGUUGGAAAAUGUGCACAUUUAAUAAAUCAUAAUCAGGCUACUUAAUCCAUAUCCUUCCUUUUACUUUCACAAAUAUGCAAUAUAUUCAUGCAAUGUUAGAAGGACUAUAUAAUUAAAUGAGGAAUAUGGAUCUGAAUAUUAAUGUAUUAAAGACCAAGGAUUUGACAGGGAAAAUGGAAUGAACAAUUUCAAGUUACAUAUAAAUGGUGAAAAACUAAAGGAAGUAGAUAAAUCUUUGUACAUUAGUAGAAUGUUUAUUAAAGGUGGAGAAAUGGGAAGAGAAUUAUUAAACUAUACAAAUGCUAAUUAAAAGUUAUAUGGUCUGUU